This 253-nucleotide ribosomal RNA is filed under the name uncultured bacterium. RNAcentral's name for it is "partial 16S ribosomal RNA". It matches the Rfam family "Bacterial small subunit ribosomal RNA", at positions 524 to 776 of the family's 1533-position model. The record is from RNAcentral.
UACGUAGGGUGCAAGCGUUAAUCGGAAUUACUGGGCGUAAAGCGUGCGCAGGCGGUUAUGCAAGACAGAUGUGAAAUCCCCGGGCUUAACCUGGGAACCGCAUUUGUGACUGCAUAGCUGGAGUACGGCAGAGGGGGAUGGAAUUCCGCGUGUAGCAGUGAAAUGCGUAGAUAUGCGGAGGAACACCGAUGGCGAGGGCAGUCCCCUGGGCCUGUACUGACGCUCAUGCACGAAAGCGUGGGGAGCAAACAGG